AAGGAUUUAAGUUAAAUAAACUGUUAGCCUUCAAAGUUAAAAUUAUAUAAGCUUAUAUAAGCCUUA
This 66-nucleotide transfer RNA is filed under the name Neosymplana vittatum. RNAcentral's name for it is "tRNA-Trp". The record is from RNAcentral. Lineage: Eukaryota; Metazoa; Arthropoda; Insecta; Hemiptera; Caliscelidae.